GUAUAGGGAACUUUCAGGAUAGCAUUUGAAAUGUAUAUAAAGAAAAUAUCUAAUAAUUAAAAAAAAGAAAUAGGUUAAAAAAUGUAUGACAGAAGAGAUCUUUGCUGGUUCUUGAGUUUAAAGCCAAAGCAAACAUUGUAUUAGACAUUGACACAAAGAUACAGUUAUGAUCGUGUUUGUUUAUGGGGUACUCAAUGAGGCCCUAAGUAUACAAUGUAGAGUAAUCGAAUCAAGCAAGUUAAUAUACCCAUUACCCCAAUACUUAUCUUGUAUUCCUCAUAUUGAACUGAAACAUUGUACCAUUCGGCCAACAUCUUUCAUUGCCUUUCUUAACUCUGCAGUCUCAGGAAACCACUGGCCCUCCUGUGCAUGCAGAUGAUGUAGAAUGCACCUCUAACUGUCACAUUUGUCUUUUCUUUGUGCAGCUUGUUGUACAUAAUGGCCUCUUCAGUCAUCCAUAUUACCACAUAUAACAUAAUUACCCUCAUCUCUAGGACCGCACAGUACGAUUCUCUUUAUCUACACCACAUUUUAAAUUGACAUUAGUGGUGAUUUCUCAUUUUGGGUUUUGUGAUCUGUGUUGCAUUAAUAUAGAAGUGCAGAUAUAUCUUUGAAAAAUUAAUUUCAGAGCUUCAAGUUAAUUUGGAUUGGUCCAAGCUGCUGUCUUUAGUAUUUUCCAAUAACCUUCAUGAUGCUGGACUACGCAAAUAGCACCCAAUGAAAGAGUAUUAGUUAUUAGCAGUAACGGCAACAGUGUUAGGUCCCAACAUUUCAACACCUGUUUUACAUCAGACAAUAUGAUUUAUAAUAGCUCUAAUAUAUGCAACAUCUCCAUUUGCAGGUGAAAUCUUGAAACUCAGAUGUAAAAUUAACAGACAAGCUUAAUUAGUGGAAGGACCAAAUGUUGAAUGUUUGCUUUAUAACAAUAUGCUAAUUCAAUUACAGAGAAAUGAGCUUCCUCUGCGGUAAUUUAUUUCCCAGUCCUCAGCGAAUUCAGGUCUCUUACUCCAUAUGAUAAUAUGAUGUUGAAGGGCUUUGGUGGCAAUUAUCUAAGCAGGACUACACCAAAGAAGGGAGUCAGUUGAAUGCUUUAUCAGAUUUUUUCAAGUGGAUAUUUCUAGGCAGUGCCUCUCCUGGGUGCUUAUAGAUGGGAUGCGACUGUGCUCCGGUUUGAUGCCUUAGCUGAAUAGCAUUGUGCAAAGAGUCACAGCUCAAUCACCAUUUAAGCCUUCAAUUAUGCAUUUCUACAAAGAGCCCUAAAAGUUUAACAUGAGUAACGUCUAUUUUCUCCUGAACAAUAUUACCAAAGAAGCAUUUGGUAGAGAAAUUUCUGUGGUCGACUUGCUUGGUUCUAGGAUAGAUGCUAGGUUUAGGAUUUUGGUAAGUUGAUUCCCAAAGGGAAAUAGGAAUCAUUACUUCCCCCUCCCCUCACCUCACAGCACCCCUUUCUAUGAUGUAGGCUUUGGAAACCGUCACUCAAAAGUCCUUAGAACCCUGACUUGCCUCAUCAAGUCGUACUGGUUUAAGCCAAUUUCUACUUUGUUUAUGCCUGAAGUCAGGUUAAAAAAAAUGGUUUAAAAGAAAAUGUGUAAGAUAUCAGCAAGGCCAAGCUGUUUUUUGUGACUGAAGAGAGAAGAGAUACAGUAAAAGCAUUAUUUAGGAAACGAUCUAAUUAUUAUAGAAAGUUAUCCUCUAGAUUUCGGAACAACUCUUGAAAAUGUGUUCUUUAGAGUAAAUUUGCGAAGUGGGAGAAACAAAACAAAACCCAGCCUCCUAAAAGGAUUGCACCAUUUAUAUCUCUCUGCAUAGAACACAAAGGGUCCAACAAAUCAAAAUGCUGGAGUUUGCCAAUGUAAGUAAUGGCUGCCGUGAGCCUCCCAGUUUUGGGUAGGGGAAGCAGCCAGAUGGCCACAGGAAGGCUUUCUGAAUCGCAGGUGCCAAGUCUCUAUGGGCAGUUACAUUCUCAUGCCUGCUUUUGGAGCCAGGUUCUUGGCUAUUAUCUGCUAGGCUCCAUUCCAUUGGCCUCCUGAUGGAGAGGCUCAGCAUUCAUGGAGGCUAUGCAUGCAAGAGGAAAUCUCUAGGCUUCAUUUCCAAGAGUAUCAUCCUGACAAAUCGAGGCAGGGAGAGGGGGAAAUUCCUUACUAGCAUCCAAGGUUUGAAAGAGUUGCUAGUCUUUCUCUCAGGAAGAGGUUGUGAGAUCAGAAUGAACAACUCCAUCCUUCUUAGCACUUAACAGACAGGAAGGCUCUGUUGACUUUCUUUCGUAUUUUCACCUCUAUCCAUUCUUACUGACCUAGCAUCCUAAUGAGGCUUGUUUGUGCCCAGUCAAGUAGGCACCAGUUCCUUAGACUGUCAUUUUGUAUAGGUAGGUCUAUCUAUAGGAAGAUCAUUUCUUUACGCAGGUCUGUACAUUGUCUGUUGCAAGACAUAGGAGGUGAGGAGUGGUCAAUGUGUUGCUAAGCAUCUCUACAUGUUCCCCUCUUGACAAACAACCAUUCUGGAGUAAUCUCAAUUGGUGCAUUUUGCUUCUCCAUUUUUCUCAGUGAAGUAAAAACUUGCAAAGAAGUUCAAUUAUGCGAAACAAUUAAAAUUCAGAUUGCAAGAGAGAAGACAUCAGAUUUGCCUCAAACAGGUGCCAGCACAGAUGGCCUGCUCGCAAGUCCUGGCUUUAUUUACAGCUUUUAAACACAGACAGAUACAUUGACAAAAAUGUUUCUGGAUCUUAUAGUGUGCUGAAUGCCCAAAUUUGGCCAUACAUUUAUAUUCAUUUGUAAAUGGUUCAAGUUAAAGCUUGACCUCUCUAGUCACCAGUAGCCUUGUAAAAAGACCAUUUGCCUGUCCUGUCUUUCACACACAAUGUGAAUAGAUUAAUGUUUGUGUUUGGUGGAAUAUGGUAAAUGUAUUACCCUGAUAAUAUGACUACUUUUAUUAUUAAAGAAAAAAAUCCCUCAAGUCUAAAUUACAUAUUGCCUCAUGGUUCUGCAUUUCCAAAAUCACUAACAUUCUUUAGAGGAUCAGGAUACUGCCCAAUUUUUAGCAGCCUUAGAGCAUGGUUCUUUGAGAGACUAGCCAAACAAGUGUUAAGAGGUUCUUAGAGCAAAUGACAUUCUCCCAGGAAGAAGCCAGUUGGGCUAGCCACGUGAUAAAAUCUACCUAGAGAAACUUGAGUGAACAUUCAGCCCAUAUCAUUAUCUCUGAUGUUCCAGAUUUGGAACGGAUCCACCAAGGGUUAAACUUCUAGUAAGAUAGGUGCUGGAAGACUUUGGAAAAGGAAGACCAAAAUUGCAUCUCAAGUGGGUUUGUAUUAAAGCACUAAUUUAUCCAUGUCUCAGUGUCAUGUUACUGCAGGGGUAGAAAG
Molecule: long non-coding RNA, 3358 nt
Filed under: Mus musculus (house mouse)
Lineage: Eukaryota; Metazoa; Chordata; Mammalia; Rodentia; Muridae
Description: long non-coding RNA chr5:89053911-89057269
Source: RNAcentral